This 433-nucleotide ribosomal RNA is filed under the name uncultured bacterium. RNAcentral describes it as "partial 16S ribosomal RNA". It matches the Rfam family "Bacterial small subunit ribosomal RNA", at positions 29 to 507 of the family's 1533-position model. The record is from RNAcentral.
AACGAACGCUGGCGGCAUGCCUAACACAUGCAAGUCGAACGAGACCUUCGGGUCUAGUGUCGCACGGGUGCGUAACGCGUGGGAACCUGCCCUUAGGUUCGGAAUAACUCCCCGAAAGGGGUGCUAAUACCGGAUAAUGUCUUCGGACCAAAGAUUUAUCGCCUUUGGAUGGGCCCGCGUUGGAUUAGCUAGUUGGUAGGGUAAAAGCCUACCAAGUCGACGAUCCAUAGCUGGUCUGAGAGGAUGAUCAGCCACACUGGGACUGAGACACGGCCCAGACUCCUACGGGAGGCAGCAGUGGGGAAUAUUGGACAAUGGGCGAAAGCCUGAUCCAGCAAUGCCGCGUGAGUGAUGAAGGACUUAGGGUUGUAAAGCUCUUGUACCCGGGAUGAUAAUGACAGUACCGGGAGAAUAAGCUCCGGCUAACUCCGUG